AUUGAACGCUGGCGGCAGGCUUAACACAUGCAAGUCGAGCGGGGUGAUGGUGCUUGCACUAUCACUUAGCGGCGGACGGGUGAGUAAUGCUUAGGAAUCUGCCUAUUAGUGGGGGACAACAUCUCGAAAGGGAUGCUAAUACCGCAUACGUCCUACGGGAGAAAGCAGGGGAUCACUUGUGACCUUGCGCUAAUAGAUGAGCCUAAGUGGGAUUAGCUAGUUGGUGGGGUAAAGGCCUACCAAGGCGACGAUCUGUAGCGGGUCUGAGAGGAUGAUCCGCCACACUGGGACUGAGACACGGCCCAGACUCCUACGGGAGGCAGCAGUGGGGAAUAUUGGACAAUGGGGGAAACCCUGAUCCAGCCAUGCCGCGUGUGUGAAGAAGGCCUUAUGGUUGUAAAGCACUUUAAGCGAGGAGGAGGCUCUUUUGGUUAAUACCCAAGAUGAGUGGACGUUACUCGCAGAAUAAGCACCGGCUAACUCUGUGCCAGCAGCCGCCGCGG
RNAcentral lists this ribosomal RNA (503 nucleotides) under uncultured bacterium. RNAcentral's name for it is "partial 16S ribosomal RNA". It matches the Rfam family "Bacterial small subunit ribosomal RNA", at positions 30 to 523 of the family's 1533-position model. The record is from RNAcentral.